Harpia harpyja (harpy eagle) is the source of this 693-nucleotide long non-coding RNA. RefSeq lists it as uncharacterized. The transcript has 3 exons. Lineage: Eukaryota; Metazoa; Chordata; Aves; Accipitriformes; Accipitridae. The record is from RefSeq and is a predicted model, not a curated record.
UACUUUGAAGAACAUUUAUUUGCUGGAGUUUCACCCUCCUCUUGGUCUGGUGUGCUUGAUCCCCAAAGCUCUUGAGUAUAUCUACCAGGAAUUCUACAGCAUCUGCAGACCAAAAACAGCCAGUAAAGCAAGUAAUCUAGAAAAACAAGUGCUUCAGCUAGUAGUUGAUGAGUGGCUAACUAUGGAAAAAACAGAAACUUUUUACAGUUCUCAUAUUCAAAUAGAUGUUAUAUAAGGCUUUUGCAAUGGAAGCAGGUUUUGGUGAGUUCCAUUUGUACCUGAGGCCUGUGCUCUUCAAAUCUGCUUCUCACAGGGAGAAAGCAGAGCACCUCCCACCAAUGUUCAUUACAUCUCUCCUGGAAGAUGACAGCUGUGUUGACAGAUCAAUGUUUAGGAGGAAGAAAGGAAACAACUUGUGAAUUCUCUUAUUAGAUUCAGGGAGGACAUCCCGUCAGUCGUUCACUAUGGCUAAUGUGGGCAGCAUGGCUCCCUUCUGACUUGUACGUAUACCACCUGCAGUCCCAUGCUGUUGUUUGCAUCCUAUUCACUUGCAUACACCCAAGCCUGCUGUGAAAAUUGGGCUGUACCAAACAAGUUUAGCAAUUGCAAGCAACCUGGAAUGAAGCUUCAGCUGCUAAUGGAAUUGGGGCAGUGAUGGACAUCAGAGCCCAGAAGACAGUACAGCAGCACAAA